CAGCGUCCAGGGGAGGUGGACCAAGCCCGGACCGGGGCUGUCAAGAACAAUCUGCACCUAGAGCCGCCAGCGAGGAUCCCCCAGUCGCCUCCAGAGUCCGCGGGAAUGAGCGUGGCGGUCGUAGACGUGGUUCCGUAGGCUCCACCAGGGAAGAUGAGGAGUUCGGGGUUCCGAGCAUAGAUAACCUGCUCCUCAUCCAACUGGUGGAGGCGCGUCCAGCACUAUGGGACCACUCCGAC
Molecule: long non-coding RNA, 239 nt
Organism: Bufo bufo (common toad)
Lineage: Eukaryota; Metazoa; Chordata; Amphibia; Anura; Bufonidae
Exons: 3
Source: RefSeq, a predicted model, not a curated record